Molecule: long non-coding RNA, 640 nt
Filed under: Medicago truncatula (barrel medic)
Lineage: Eukaryota; Viridiplantae; Streptophyta; Magnoliopsida; Fabales; Fabaceae
Description: lncRNA gene21049
Source: RNAcentral
CCUAUUAUGGAAGGAAGUAAAUGCGGUUCUAGCUCACGGUGAUGGUAGCUUGCGGUGAAGGUUUAGGUGGUAAUGAUUGCCUACCGAAGCUUUUCAUGUGAUCUCUAAAGCAUUCCGUCAAAACGAGACUUGGAUUUGACGACUGAAGAUCACAAAUUUUCGCUCACCUUCAAAUCCUGAGCUAGACCCAAUCACAACAAGAUUUUUUGUUGAACGCAUUGUUACAAAUACCUGAUAAAAUUGAAGCUAACUAUCUGCGCGCGAUAAAUAAUUAUUGAAGGGGCUGUGCAAAGACUGGGGUUGCUCACCUUCUGAGCUGAUGCAGAGGAGUUUGGGGUGGCAUUUUGAUUGUUUAUUCUUAUUCAUGUAUCAUGUAGUUUUAUUUUGAUUCUAAUAGUAAAAGUCAGCUUCUGUUUUUGUGUCAUCUUUUUCUUUCUAUUAUUUAACAAGCGCAUGUGAUACAAAUGCAAGAACUGUAGGGCUCCAUACCAAAAAUGGACCUGUUACCAAUUGUUUAAGAUAAAUGAUUGAAUAUAUUGCAAAGAACCUAACAAAAUAUGUUGAAGCUCCUCUAAAAUAUAUAUAUAUUGAAGCUGGUAGGUUAUUUGACAUCUAUACUGUGGUAUUAUCUUUCUCCUAA